GCCCCCGUAGCUCAGGGGAUAGAGCAUCGGCCUCCGGAGCCGUGUGCGUAGGUUCGAAUCCUACCGGGGGCACCA
RNAcentral lists this transfer RNA (75 nucleotides) under Sporichthyaceae bacterium. RNAcentral's name for it is "tRNA-Arg". It matches the Rfam family "tRNA". Rfam says of the family: Transfer RNA (tRNA) molecules are approximately 80 nucleotides in length. Their secondary structure includes four short double-helical elements and three loops (D, anti-codon, and T loops). Further hydrogen bonds mediate the characteristic L-shaped molecular structure. tRNAs have two regions of fundamental functional importance: the anti-codon, which is responsible for specific mRNA codon recognition, and the 3' end, to which the tRNAs corresponding amino acid is attached (by aminoacyl-tRNA synthetases). tRNAs cope with the degeneracy of the genetic code in two manners: having more than one tRNA (with a specific anti-codon) for a particular amino acid; and 'wobble' base-pairing, i.e. permitting non-standard base-pairing at the 3rd anti-codon position. The record is from RNAcentral. Lineage: Bacteria; Bacillati; Actinomycetota; Actinomycetes; Sporichthyales; Sporichthyaceae. RNAcentral also lists the same sequence under 1 other name.